Molecule: ribosomal RNA, 457 nt
Filed under: uncultured Anoxybacillus sp.
Lineage: Bacteria; Bacillati; Bacillota; Bacilli; Caryophanales; Anoxybacillaceae
Description: bacterial SSU rRNA
Rfam family: Bacterial small subunit ribosomal RNA
Source: RNAcentral
GCACAAGCGGUGGAGCAUGUGGUUAAUUCGACGCAACGCGAAGAACCUUACCAGGGCUUGACAUCCCUGACAACCCGAGAGAUCGGGCGUUCCCCUUCGGGGGACAGGGUGACAGGUGGUGCAUGGUUGUCGUCAGCUCGUGUCGUGAGAUGUUGGGUUAAGUCCCGCAACGAGCGCAACCCUCGACCUUAGUUGCCAGCAUUCAGUUGGGCACUCUAAGGUGACUGCCGGCUAAAAGUCGGAGGAAGGUGGGAUGACGUCAAAUCAUCAUGCCCUUUAUGUCCUGGGCUACACACGUACUACAAUGGCCUGUACAAAGGGUAGCGAAGCCGCGAGGUGAAGCCAAUCCCAAAAAGCAGGUCUCAGUUCGGAUUGCAGGCUGCAACUCGCCUGCAUGAAGUCGGAAUCGCUAGUAAUCGCGGAUCAGCAUGCCGCGGUGAAUACGUUCCCGGGCCUU